GUCGAACGACUCGGACUAUGGCGAGAAGUGGCAAACUGCUCAGUAACACGUAGCUAACCUACCCUCAGGACGGAGACAACCCCGGGAAACUGGGGUUAAUCCCCGAUAGGCGUGGAUUCCUGGAAUGGUGUCACGCCGAAACGUUAACACACCAUGUUUGUGUACACGCCUGAGGAUGGGGCUGCGGCCGAUCAGGCAGUUGGUGAGGUAAUGGCUCACCAAACCUUUGACCGGUACGGGCCGUGAGAGCGGUAGCCCGGAGAUGGACACUGAGACAAGGGUCCAGGACCUACGGGUCGCAGCCGGUACGAAACCUCCACAAUGCACGCAAGUGCGAUGGGGUUACCUCGAGUGCCGUCUGAAGAAGGCGGCUUUUCCAUUGUGUAAUGAGCCGUGGGAAUAAGGGGGGGGCAAGACUGGUGUCAGCCGCCGCGGUAACACCAGCCCCCCGAGUGGUGGGGAUGUUUAUUUGGCCUAAAACGUCCGUAGCCAGCUAGGUAAACCUCUCGUUAAAUCCAGCGUCCUAAGCGUUGGGCUGCGAGAGAGACUGCCAAGCUAGAGGGUGGGAGAGGUCAGCGGUAUUUCUGGGGUAGGGGCGAAAUCCAUUGAUCCCAGGAGGACCACCAGUGGCGAAGGCUGCUGACUAGAACACGCCUGACGGUGAGGGACGAAAGCUGGGGGAGCGAACCGGAUUAGAUACCCGGGUAGUCCCAGCUGUAAACGAUGCGGGCUAGGUGUUGGGGCAGCCACGAGCUGCUCCAGUGCCGCAGAGAAGUUGUUAAGCCCGCCGCCUGGGGAGUACGGCCGCAAGGCUGAAACUUAAAGGAAUUGGCGGGGGAGCA
Molecule: ribosomal RNA, 842 nt
Filed under: uncultured archaeon
Lineage: Archaea
Description: bacterial SSU rRNA
Rfam family: Archaeal small subunit ribosomal RNA
Source: RNAcentral